RNAcentral lists this unclassified non-coding RNA (377 nucleotides) under uncultured Chlamydiales bacterium. Its description in RNAcentral is "contains 16S-23S intergenic spacer region". The record is from RNAcentral. Lineage: Bacteria; Pseudomonadati; Chlamydiota; Chlamydiia; Chlamydiales.
UCCUGGUUAACCCAGGCAGUCUCGUUAGAGUCCCCACCUUAAAUGCUGGCAACUAACGAUAAGGGUUGCGCUCGUUGCGGGACUUAACCCAACACCUCACGGCACGAGCUGACGACAGCCAUGCAGCACCUGUACAGCGGUCCCGAAGGAAAACACCAUUUCUGGUGCCGUCCACUGUAUGUCAAGUCUGGGUAAGGUUCUUCGCGUUGCAUCGAAUUAAACCACAUGCUCCACUGCUUGUGCGGGUCCCCGUCAAUUCUUUUGAGUUUCACCCUUGCGAGCGUACUCCCCAGGCGGUAUACUUAACACGUUAGCUACGGCACAGUUGGGGUUGAGACCAACUACACCAAGUAUACAUCGUUUACGGCUAGGACUAC